Molecule: unclassified non-coding RNA, 331 nt
Filed under: soil metagenome
Description: partial contains 5.8S ribosomal RNA, internal transcribed spacer 2, and large subunit ribosomal RNA
Rfam family: 5.8S ribosomal RNA (bases 1-120)
Source: RNAcentral
GAUGAAGAACGUAGCGAAAUGCGAUACGUAAUGUGAAUUGCAGAUUUCAGUGAAUCAUCGAAUCUUUGAACGCACAUUGCGCCCGCCAGUAUUCUGGCGGACAUGCCUGUUCGAGCGUCAUUUCAACCAUCAAGCGCCUCGCUUGUGUUGGGGCCCUGCGGCUGCCGCAGGUCCCUAAAUCCAGUGGCGGGCUCGUCGUCGUACCGAGUGCAGUAAACAUCCUCGCUCAGGGAACCCGACGGGUGCCGGCCGUGAAACCCCCCCUCCUCAAGGUUGACCUCGGAUCAGGUAGGAAUACCCGCUGAACUUAAGCAUAUCAAUAAGCGGAGGA